GACGAACGCUGGCGGCGUGCUUAACACAUGCAAGUCGAACGGAAAGGCCCUGCUUUUGUGGGGUGCUCGAGUGGCGAACGGGUGAGUAACACGUGAGUAACCUGCCCUUGACUUUGGGAUAACUUCAGGAAACUGGGUCUCAUACCGGAUAGGAGCUCCUGCUGCAUGGUGGGGGUUGGAUAGUUUCGGCGGUUGGGGAUGGACUCGCGGCUUAUCAGCUUGUUGGUGGGGUAGUGGCUUACCAAGGCUUUGACCGGUAGCCGGCCGGCGAGGGUGACCGGCCACAUUGGGACUGAGAUACGGCGCAGACUCCUACGGGAGGCAGCGGUGGGGAGUAUUGCACAAUAGGCGGAAGCCUGAUGCAGCAACGCCGCGUGCGGGAUGAGGUCCUUCGGGUAGUGAACCGCUUUCGCCUGUGACGAAGCGUGAGUGACGGUAAUGGGUAAAGAAGCACCGGCUAACUACGUG
This 468-nucleotide ribosomal RNA is filed under the name uncultured bacterium. Its description in RNAcentral is "partial 16S ribosomal RNA". It matches the Rfam family "Bacterial small subunit ribosomal RNA", at positions 28 to 507 of the family's 1533-position model. The record is from RNAcentral.